Octodon degus (degu) is the source of this 106-nucleotide small nuclear RNA. The record is from Ensembl. Lineage: Eukaryota; Metazoa; Chordata; Mammalia; Rodentia; Octodontidae.
GUACUCGAUUUAUCAGCACAUAUACUAAAAUUAUAACUAUCAGUGAAGAAUAAAAUGGGCCCUGUUCAAGGAUGACAUGCAAAUUCAUGAAGCGUUCCAUAUUUUU